This 668-nucleotide ribosomal RNA is filed under the name uncultured Actinomycetes bacterium. Its description in RNAcentral is "bacterial SSU rRNA". It matches the Rfam family "Bacterial small subunit ribosomal RNA", at positions 837 to 1504 of the family's 1533-position model. Lineage: Bacteria; Bacillati; Actinomycetota; Actinomycetes. The record is from RNAcentral.
GUCUCCGUGCCGCAGCUAACGCAUUAAGUACCCCGCCUGGGGAGUACGGCCGCAAGGCUAAAACUCAAAGGAAUUGACGGGGCCCCGCACAAGCGGCGGAGCAUGCGGAUUAAUUCGAUGCAACGCGAAGAACCUUACCUGGGUUUGACAUGUACCGGAAACACCUAGAGAUAGGUGCCCCUUUUGGUCGGUACACAGGUGGUGCAUGGCUGUCGUCAGCUCGUGUCGUGAGAUGUUGGGUUAAGUCCCGCAACGAGCGCAACCCUCGUCCUAUGUUGCCAGCGGAUCAUGCCGGGGACUCAUAGGAGACUGCCGGGGUCAACUCGGAGGAAGGUGGGGAUGACGUCAAGUCAUCAUGCCCCUUAUGUCCAGGGCUUCACGCAUGCUACAAUGGCCGGUACAAAGGGCUGCAAACCAGCAAUGGUAAGCGAAUCCCAAAAAGCCGGUCUCAGUUCGGAUUGGGGUCUGCAACUCGACCCCAUGAAGUCGGAGUCGCUAGUAAUCGCAGAUCAGCAACGCUGCGGUGAAUACGUUCCCGGGGCUUGUACACACCGCCCGUCAAGUCAUGAAAGUCGGUAACACCCGAAGCCGGUGGCCUAACCCGUAAGGGAGGGAGCUGUCGAAGGUGGGACCGGUGAUUAGGACUAAGUCGUAACAAGGUAACCGUA